GUGGGGAAUAUUGCGCAAUGGGCGAAAGCCUGACGCAGCGACGCCGCGUGAGGGAUGAAGGUUUUCGGAUCGUAAACCUCUGUCAGAAGGGAAGAAACUACGUUGUGCUAAUCAGCAGCGUACUGACGGUACCUUCAAAGGAAGCACCGGCUAACUCCGUGCCAGCAGCCGCGGUAAUACGGAGGGUGCAAGCGUUAAUCGGAAUUACUGGGCGAAAAGCGCACGUAGGCUGUAGUGUAAGUCAGGGGUGAAAUCCCACGGCUCUACCGUGGAACUGCCUUUGAUACUGCACAACUUGAAUCCGGGAGAGGGUGGCGGAAUUCCAGGUGUAGGAGUGAAAUCCGUAGAUAUCUGGAGGAACAUCAGUGGCGAAGGCGGCCACCUGGACCGGUAUUGACGCUGAGGUACGAAAGCGUGGGGAGCAAACAGGAUUAGAAACCCCAGUAGUCC
This 450-nucleotide ribosomal RNA is filed under the name uncultured bacterium. Its description in RNAcentral is "partial 16S ribosomal RNA". It matches the Rfam family "Bacterial small subunit ribosomal RNA", at positions 354 to 796 of the family's 1533-position model. The record is from RNAcentral.